AUCCCUAAAAUCAUUCCUCCUCGGCUCUUCCACUUUCUCUUCCUUAGUUUUUCACGGAUCAUGGCGUUUGAUGUCGAUGAUCAUGAACAACAGCAACAAAAGCAUCGCAGAAUGACAAUUUCUACUCUCACAACUACAAAGAUCAGCGGGAUAUUUGGUUUUCUCCAUUGAUGUUAGAAUGAUUUUUCAAUUUCAGCUGCAUUUGUUGGGGGAUAAUAGUUUGGCGUGUUGAUGCUAAUGGUGCUUCUUUGUUUUGCUUGAGCCUCCAAUUCCAUCCACAGAAUUGUAGUAAUGCCGAAAUCCGUCAAAUCUGGCAAAAACCAGCAACGAAGGGAUCACCAAAAAAACCAAUCAGAGACAACCAAAGAAGUGGUUGUGGUUUAGAAUUCACAAUUGAGGAUGGCCGUCCAAGGUGUUUGAUAUACAAUGUAUUGUAAGGCGACGAAGAAUCAUUGUGGAUAUAUGGCAGGUCACCAAGAGAAGCCAAGUAGAAAGAAGGGCACAAGUGAAAGAUCAAAGAUCUAAUGCAAUUUGUGAAGUGGACCUCCACGAAGUUGAGAAGCUUCAAGUUCACAACCUAAUGGAGAUAGCACAGCUAGCCUGGUUCAAUAUAUUGGCUAAUCUAGCUACCACUUAAUUCUCCAACUGAUUCACUCCGUAUAGAGCGCCUAAAUACUCCUUCAUGAGCUGCUUCAAAUUUUCCCAUUUAGCUCAGUUCUGGCACUUGAAGACAUUACGUGGAGUGGAGGAAUUUUUCUGCUGCUUUGGGUGCAUUUUCUAGGCAAUCUGGAAGACCAAUAAUGAGUUGAUUUUUGACAGGAAAAUCGUUAAUACUUCCCAGAUUAUUCAGGAGGCUCAUUAUUGGUUCUGUCUGUCAGACUCCAAUUUCUGACGAUAACCAGCUGAUGCAUGCUGUAACAACUGAAGUUCCUGGGUGGUCUGCACCUCAAGCAUAUCCAUUUUCUAACAGGCCCUGUAACUGUUCUUUCAAGUGCACUGUUGUCCCUAUCCGCAGUAAACUUCUGAAUAUUAGAAUCAUCACAAAACAAGUACUACUAUGUCUACAAAAUUUACGGACUUGGCAUUAUAUUUGACUUUUCAUUGGAAUGAAGUCCUGUAGUACUUACUAGCAGAAAUAAGAACAGUCUUUGGUCCUUCUCAUUGAAAGGAAUUUAGGCGCGUAGGGUUGAUAAGGAAGAACCAGUAAAAGCUUAUAUCCGUUUCAGGAAAAGGGAUACUAUUGGAUUUUCGAUUUGGCCUGGAAUUUGAGUCCGUGUGCUUUAAUUUGUUUGCUCUUAAGAUUCACAGUUAUAAACACAGCUUUUCACCUACACGACAGAUACUCAUGAAGCUGAUGAGAAGUCUCUUGUAGCUGCAUCCAAGUUGGACUUGACAGAUUCCUCAGGAGGAGGCUGCCAAAUCGGUGGGCCUGGAGUUGAGAUAAAGACUGUUUCAAGAGUACUUCCUACGCUACACUUGUAAGAGAAAUGCUCCACUUUUGUAUAUCCUUUCAGUGGUACCACGCACUACUGCCGUACUUGAGCUUUAAAUGUGGAACUCGGCUAUUAACUAGAGUAUAUGAAGCUGGGUGACUUGAAAUAUGCAUUGCGGCGCAAAUUCUGCAAUUAAGGCAAAUCUGCAUCGUUACAUGGAAACUCUCAUUCUGUCUCAAAAUUUGUUUCAUUAACCAAUACAUGCCCAAAAUUUUCAGUUUAUCAUUGGCGUGUCACGGAUUCGCUUCUCAAUCCAAAAUAUCUCAUAGUAAUAAGUGGCGACUCAACCCCUGCCCGCAAUGCCAAAUCUGUCUUUCUAAUAGGAGUACUCGGUGGCUCAAAAUCCUGAGAAAAUGCUCUCGAGUCUCGACUAUAUCCUAACGGUGUAACCAAGGUGUAAUUAACUUGAAGUAGAAAGGUAAGGAAUUAGAUAUAUUUGAAAAAUGCAAGGGUGCAUGAUGGUUGGCAUAUAGCCUGAAUGUACGAGUUUAUGAAGAAAAGCAGAAAUAUCUUUUAAUUGGUUGCUCUGUGAGAACAUGGCUAACUGUGUCGUGUGUAUUGCUAAUUGCGAACCAAGUGGAAAAAAGAAGAAGAAGUGGAACCUGAAAUUUUGGCUUUAAAGUUGAGAGUGGAGUCCUGCAUGAAUUGGGCACUUUCUAGUGAUUCACGAAUUGUCAUUUGCUAUAAUUACAUAGCAUAACAAAGAUUAUAAGAAUCUUUUUUUAUUACAGAGAAGGUGCUUUUAGCUUCGCGCGAAUUGUCGACUUACAAAUCUUUUUUUAUACUAUUUAUUUACGUCUUCAGAA
This is a long non-coding RNA of Papaver somniferum (opium poppy), 2299 nucleotides long. RefSeq lists it as uncharacterized. The record is from RefSeq and is a predicted model, not a curated record. The transcript has 4 exons. Lineage: Eukaryota; Viridiplantae; Streptophyta; Magnoliopsida; Ranunculales; Papaveraceae.